RNAcentral lists this ribosomal RNA (1179 nucleotides) under Gorgoniceps viridula. Its description in RNAcentral is "LSU rRNA". It matches the Rfam family "Eukaryotic large subunit ribosomal RNA", at positions 38 to 1443 of the family's 3401-position model. Lineage: Eukaryota; Fungi; Ascomycota; Leotiomycetes; Helotiales. The record is from RNAcentral.
GCAUAUCAAUAAGCGGAGGAAAAAGAAACCACAGGGAUUGCCUCAGUAACGGCGAGUGAAGCGGCAACAGCUCAAAUUUGAAAUCUGGCUCUUUCAGGGUCCGAGUUGUAAUUUGUAGAAGAUGCUUCGGGUGUGGCUCCGGUCUAAGUUCCUUGGAACAGGACGUCAUAGAGGGUGAGAAUCCCGUACGUGACCGGUGGCCUUCGCCCAUGUGAAGCUCUUUCGACGAGUCGAGUUGUUUGGGAAUGCAGCUCAAAAUGGGUGGUAUGUUUCAUCUAAAGCUAAAUAUUGGCCAGAGACCGAUAGCGCACAAGUAGAGUGAUCGAAAGAUGAAAAGCACUUUGGAAAGAGAGUUAAACAGUACGUGAAAUUGUUGAAAGGGAAGCGCUUGCAAUCAGACUUGCACGCCGUCGAUCAUCCGAGGUUCUCCCCGGUGCACUCGGCGGUGUUCAGGCCAGCAUCGGUCUAGGUGGUUGGAUAAAGGCCCUAGGAAUGUGGCUCCUCUCGGGGAGUGUUAUAGCCUAGGGUGUAAUGCAGCCUACCUGGACCGAGGACCGCGCUUCGGCUAGGAUGCUGGCGUAAUGGUUGUAAGCGACCCGUCUUGAAACACGGACCAAGGAGUCUAACAUCUAUGCGAGUGUUUGGGUGUCAAACCCAUACGCGUAAUUAACGUGAACGGAGGUGAGAACCCUUAAGGGUGCAUCAUCGACCGAUCCUGAUGUCUUCGGAUGGAUUUGAGUAAGAGCAUAACUGUUGGGACCCGAAAGAUGGUGAACUAUGCCUGAAUAGGGUGAAGCCAGAGGAAACUCUGGUGGAGGCUCGCAGCGGUUCUGACGUGCAAAUCGAUCGUCAAAUUUGGGUAUAGGGGCGAAAGACUAAUCGAACCAUUGCCACUAGGUGGUUAAGAGGCCGCGCGACCGCGGACCUAGUCCUUUAUACGGGCUACACUAUCAAAUUGACGGGGACCUCCCGCGAAGUUCCAGGCUACCGCAGCCGUCUCGAAAGAGCGGUGCGCACCGUGGGUAACACCCGCGGGGAUGGUAAGAAUGCCUGGAUAGGGACAAUCCGCAGCCAAGUCCUACCGGCGCGCCGGCCCACGGACGCAGUUCACAGACUAAAUGGUAGUGGGCAGGGCCUGUCACGGCCCUGUCUAAGUUAUAGUCGAUCCACCGGAGACCG